RNAcentral lists this ribosomal RNA (251 nucleotides) under uncultured bacterium. RNAcentral's name for it is "partial 16S ribosomal RNA". It matches the Rfam family "Bacterial small subunit ribosomal RNA", at positions 524 to 776 of the family's 1533-position model. The record is from RNAcentral.
UACGGAGGGUGCGAGCGUUGUCCGGAAUCACUGGGCGUAAAGGGCGCGUAGGCGGCCUGGUAAGUAGGGGGUGAAAUCCUGCGGCUUAACCGCAGGGCUGCCUUCUAAACUGUCAGGCUAGAGCACGGUAGAGGCAGAUGGAAUUCCCGGUGUAGCGGUGGAAUGCGUAGAGAUCGGAAGAACAUCAGUGGCGAAGGCGGUCUGCUGGGCCGUUGCUGACGCUGAGGCGCGACAGCGUGGGAGCAAACAGG